Molecule: ribosomal RNA, 1542 nt
Filed under: Escherichia coli
Lineage: Bacteria; Pseudomonadati; Pseudomonadota; Gammaproteobacteria; Enterobacterales; Enterobacteriaceae
Also listed under: 3 other names
Description: bacterial SSU rRNA
Rfam family: Bacterial small subunit ribosomal RNA
Source: RNAcentral
AAAUUGAAGAGUUUGAUCAUGGCUCAGAUUGAACGCUGGCGGCAGGCCUAACACAUGCAAGUCGAACGGUAACAGGAAACAGCUUGCUGUUUCGCUGACGAGUGGCGGACGGGUGAGUAAUGUCUGGGAAACUGCCUGAUGGAGGGGGAUAACUACUGGAAACGGUAGCUAAUACCGCAUAAUGUCGCAAGACCAAAGAGGGGGACCUUCGGGCCUCUUGCCAUCGGAUGUGCCCAGAUGGGAUUAGCUAGUAGGUGGGGUAACGGCUCACCUAGGCGACGAUCCCUAGCUGGUCUGAGAGGAUGACCAGCCACACUGGAACUGAGACACGGUCCAGACUCCUACGGGAGGCAGCAGUGGGGAAUAUUGCACAAUGGGCGCAAGCCUGAUGCAGCCAUGCCGCGUGUAUGAAGAAGGCCUUCGGGUUGUAAAGUACUUUCAGCGGGGAGGAAGGGAGUAAAGUUAAUACCUUUGCUCAUUGACGUUACCCGCAGAAGAAGCACCGGCUAACUCCGUGCCAGCAGCCGCGGUAAUACGGAGGGUGCAAGCGUUAAUCGGAAUUACUGGGCGUAAAGCGCACGCAGGCGGUUUGUUAAGUCAGAUGUGAAAUCCCCGGGCUCAACCUGGGAACUGCAUCUGAUACUGGCAAGCUUGAGUCUCGUAGAGGGGGGUAGAAUUCCAGGUGUAGCGGUGAAAUGCGUAGAGAUCUGGAGGAAUACCGGUGGCGAAGGCGGCCCCCUGGACGAAGACUGACGCUCAGGUGCGAAAGCGUGGGGAGCAAACAGGAUUAGAUACCCUGGUAGUCCACGCCGUAAACGAUGUCGACUUGGAGGUUGUGCCCUUGAGGCGUGGCUUCCGGAGCUAACGCGUUAAGUCGACCGCCUGGGGAGUACGGCCGCAAGGUUAAAACUCAAAUGAAUUGACGGGGGCCCGCACAAGCGGUGGAGCAUGUGGUUUAAUUCGAUGCAACGCGAAGAACCUUACCUGGUCUUGACAUCCACGGAAGUUUUCAGAGAUGAGAAUGUGCCUUCGGGAACCGUGAGACAGGUGCUGCAUGGCUGUCGUCAGCUCGUGUUGUGAAAUGUUGGGUUAAGUCCCGCAACGAGCGCAACCCUUAUCCUUUGUUGCCAGCGGUCCGGCCGGGAACUCAAAGGAGACUGCCAGUGAUAAACUGGAGGAAGGUGGGGAUGACGUCAAGUCAUCAUGGCCCUUACGACCAGGGCUACACACGUGCUACAAUGGCGCAUACAAAGAGAAGCGACCUCGCGAGAGCAAGCGGACCUCAUAAAGUGCGUCGUAGUCCGGAUUGGAGUCUGCAACUCGACUCCAUGAAGUCGGAAUCGCUAGUAAUCGUGGAUCAGAAUGCCACGGUGAAUACGUUCCCGGGCCUUGUACACACCGCCCGUCACACCAUGGGAGUGGGUUGCAAAAGAAGUAGGUAGCUUAACCUUCGGGAGGGCGCUUACCACUUUGUGAUUCAUGACUGGGGUGAAGUCGUAACAAGGUAACCGUAGGGGAACCUGCGGUUGGAUCACCUCCUUA